GCAUGGUCUGAUUAACCUACUAACCCAAGGGCUCGGCCGGGAUGCUGUGUGACAAGGUGCUGGUCUUCUGUCAACCGACUAACCCACUAACCAGGUCCGAGCAUGCCCUACUAACCCCUUCCCGCAGCCAGACCCAACUAACC
Non-coding RNA from Ochotona princeps (American pika), 143 nucleotides. The record is from Rfam. NCBI's taxonomy places the organism in Eukaryota, Metazoa, Chordata, Mammalia, Lagomorpha, Ochotonidae.